AGCUAACCCAAAAAAAAUAAUAAUAAUAAAAAAAAAAAAAAACCUGAAGCUAACCCUGGCUAACCCAAAGCUAAAGCGGAGGUGGGAGCCGAGCUAACGGAUGUAGCCACCUAGCUUCAACCCAACCGGAGCUAACUGGAACACCCAUCGACCUGAACCUCACACGGAGUUUAGGUGGAGGUUUUCUGCGCCUGUUCGUGAGAAGUACCUGUAUUAAAAAAGAUUUAAAUCGAUCUGUUUAAAUGUCACCAUGGCAGCCUGUGUGUCUCCAACAUCAGCUACACAAAGCAGCUAGUCCAUUUGGAUCAUUGGAGACAGCUAUGUGAGGCGUGGUGCCCAGAGAGCUGCAGAGACAACCUUGGCCUCCCUGACGUCUGUGUCUCCUGGUUCGGUUGGGGCGGACCAUCGACAUACAUACAUGUGCCGACACUUUGCGCCCUGUUUUAUAAAAUUUAGUGUUAAAAAUAAAUGUUUUUGCUCAA
Molecule: non-coding RNA, 482 nt
Organism: Nothobranchius furzeri (turquoise killifish)
Lineage: Eukaryota; Metazoa; Chordata; Actinopteri; Cyprinodontiformes; Nothobranchiidae
Source: RefSeq, a predicted model, not a curated record